AUGCAUGCUGUAAAAUCAUUCCUCUCUGGGAAGAGAACAAUUCAAAGAAAUGAUUAAAAGUCCAAAAUUACCAUCACAUUCAUGUCCAUAAUGAGUAUAUGUAACAAAAUGAGCAAAAAUGCCUUCUUUUAUAGGUUUUAAUACCAGGAGAGCAUUCAGAGCUUUAAAAUGCCACUUGUUUCAGAUUUGCAGCUUGACAUCAUUUUGCUUAGCUGUGACUUUUUUGAUUCUAACGAAAGACUGCUUGUUAAACUGUGGCACAGUUCGUCACUGCAGGUGGAGCACAGAACACCUGGGAAUGGCUGAGAUGUGAAACAAAGUUGAUUUUAAUAUUUUUGUUGUAAAAUAAAGAAAAUAGAGGUUGCUCAUGCCGUCAUGCUGACAUGUAUUUUGCUAAAAUUCUUGGAAGCACUUUUGUUAUUUUUCUUGUAACAUUGUGGACUGUUGAAUUUGUUUUCUUUUCUUGGAAUGCAAUUUAUGUCCUUAAAUACUUGAUUCAUGUGUCCUGUUUUCUUCUGAACACUCAAACGCAGACCGACAGGCACAGUCCUACUGACAUUCUAAUGACCACAUAAAGCUAAUGCUAAAGCUUAACUGGAAGAACCUUGUUACAACGUAAUAUUGUUUUUUAAUCUUCAGCUUGCUUCAAAUCAAAUUUUACAGGAAAUCAGAAAUGAGGUUCACUGACUUUGCUAGACUGCCAGUUAGCUAUAAACAUGUGGUUGUCCUUUCUUGCACAGAGAGCAAUGACAUUUCUAAUUGUACUUAUUUUUUCUUUGAUAUAAAGUGUAUGUGUAAGAAACUGGAAUGUGUUGUGCUUUAUUACUUCUAGUGAUAUAAGAUAACAUAGGUUGGUGUUUAACUGGGGUGGUUCCUAAACCAUUUAUUGACCUAAUAUUUCAUUCAAAAUCAUUUGGGGGAAAAAGUAAGGUUGCUAUAGUCAGCAAUCUGCAGUAUUUUCUCUGCUGUCCACUUUUUGUGCCUAAUAUAUCAGAUAAAUGGUUGUAGAGUGGAGAAUUUAUACGGCAGUAUCCCAAAGCUAUAGGUGACGUUUCUAAGCCAAAAUGAAUUAAAAUGUAUAAUGUAGGUUACUGUUGCAUAACACACGUUUCAUGUUAAACUUCUA
RNAcentral lists this long non-coding RNA (1126 nucleotides) under Oreochromis niloticus (Nile tilapia). RNAcentral describes it as "lncRNA (ENSONIG00000041001.1)". Lineage: Eukaryota; Metazoa; Chordata; Actinopteri; Cichliformes; Cichlidae. The record is from RNAcentral.